UACGAAGGGGGCUAGCGUUGCUCGGAAUCACUGGGCGUAAAGCGCACGUAGGCGGCUUUUUAAGUCAGGGGUGAAAUCCUGGAGCUCAACUCCAGAACUGCCUUUGAUACUGAGAGCUUGAGUCCGGGAGAGGUGAGUGGAACUGCGAGUGUAGAGGUGAAAUUCGUAGAUAUUCGCAAGAACACCAGUGGCGAAGGCGGCUCACUGGCCCGGUACUGACGCUGAGGUGCGAAAGCGUGGGGAGCAAGCAGG
This 252-nucleotide ribosomal RNA is filed under the name uncultured bacterium. RNAcentral describes it as "partial 16S ribosomal RNA". It matches the Rfam family "Bacterial small subunit ribosomal RNA", at positions 524 to 776 of the family's 1533-position model. The record is from RNAcentral.